Molecule: ribosomal RNA, 460 nt
Filed under: uncultured bacterium
Lineage: Bacteria
Description: partial 16S ribosomal RNA
Rfam family: Bacterial small subunit ribosomal RNA
Source: RNAcentral
CCUACGGGAGGCAGCAGUGAGGAAUAUUGGUCAAUGGGCGCGAGCCUGAACCAGCCAAGUAGCGUGAAGGAUGACUGCCCUACGGGUUGUAAACUUCUUUUAUAAAGGAAUAAAGUUAGGAACGUGUGCCUUUUUGUCUGUAGUUUAUUAAUAAGGAUCGGCUAACUCCGUGCCAGCAGCCGCGGUAAUACGGAGGAUCCGAGCGUUUUCCGGAUUUAUUGGGUUUAAAGGGAGCGUAGAUGGGUUGUUAAGUCAGUUGGGAAAGUUUGCGGCUCAACCGUCAAAUUGCAAUUGAUACUGGCAGACUUGAGUACAGGUGAGGUAGGCGGAAUGCGUGGUGUAGCGGUGAAAUGCUUAGAUAUCACGAAGAACUCCGAUUGCGAAGGCAGCUUACUAGACUGCCACUGACAUUGAGGCUCGAAAGUGUGGGUAUCAAACAGGAUUAGAUACCCUAGUAGUC